UACGAAGGGGGCUAGCGUUGCUCGGAAUUAUUGGGCGUAAAGAGCUCGUAGGCGGUUUGUCGCGUCUGCUGUGAAAACUGGAGGCUCAACCUCCAGCCUGCAGUGGGUACGGGCAGACUAGAGUGCGGUAGGGGAGAUUGGAAUUCCUGGUGUAGCGGUGGAAUGCGCAGAUAUCAGGAGGAACACCGAUGGCGAAGGCAGAUCUCUGGGCCGUAACUGACGCUGAGGAGCGAAAGCGUGGGGAGCGAACAGG
This 253-nucleotide ribosomal RNA is filed under the name uncultured bacterium. Its description in RNAcentral is "partial 16S ribosomal RNA". It matches the Rfam family "Bacterial small subunit ribosomal RNA", at positions 524 to 776 of the family's 1533-position model. The record is from RNAcentral.